This 325-nucleotide ribosomal RNA is filed under the name uncultured eukaryote. Its description in RNAcentral is "partial 18S ribosomal RNA". It matches the Rfam family "Eukaryotic small subunit ribosomal RNA", at positions 1470 to 1796 of the family's 1831-position model. The record is from RNAcentral.
CCCUUAGAUGUUCUGGGCCGCACGCGCGCUACACUGAUGCAUUCAACGAGCCUAUCCUUGACCGACAGGUCCGGGUAAUCUUUGAAUCUGCAUCGUGACGGGGAUAGAUUAUUGCAAUUAUUAAUCUUCAACGAGGAAUGCCUAGUAGGCGCAAGUCAUCAGCUUGCGUCGAUUACGUCCCUGCCCUUUGUACACACCGCCCGUCGCUCCUACCGAUUGGGUGUGCUGGUGAAAUGUUCGGAUCGGCCGUUUGUCGCGGUUUCCGCGUCAUGUGGCUGAGAAGUUCAUUAAACCCUCCCACCUAGAUGAAGGAGAAGUCGUAACA